UAGGAAGGGGGCGAGCGUUGUUCGGAAUUACUGGGCGUAAAGGGCGCGCAGGCGGCUCAGACAGUCAGAUGUGAAAGCCCCGGGCUUAACCUGGGAACUGCAUUUGAUACUACUGAGCUUGAGUACGGGAGAGGAUAGUGGAAUUCCCAGUGUAGAGGUGAAAUUCGUAGAUAUUGGGAAGAACACCGGUGGCGAAGGCGGCUAUCUGGACCGUAACUGACGCUGAGGCGCGAAAGCGUGGGGAGCAAACAGG
This 253-nucleotide ribosomal RNA is filed under the name uncultured bacterium. RNAcentral's name for it is "partial 16S ribosomal RNA". It matches the Rfam family "Bacterial small subunit ribosomal RNA", at positions 524 to 776 of the family's 1533-position model. The record is from RNAcentral.